GAUGAACGCUGGCGGCGUGCUUAACACAUGCAAGUCACGGGGGUCCCGGGGGCAACUCUGGGAUAACCGGCGAACGGGUGCGUAACACGUGAACAACCUGCCCUCGUGUGGGGGAUAGCCAUGCUAACGCGUGGGUAAUACCGCAUACGUUCUCUUCGGGGAGUCCCGAGGAGAGGAAAGCUCCGGCGCGACGGGGAGGGGUUCGCGGCCUAUCAGCUAGGUUGGGGGUAACGGCCU
RNAcentral lists this ribosomal RNA (237 nucleotides) under uncultured bacterium. RNAcentral describes it as "partial 16S ribosomal RNA". It matches the Rfam family "Bacterial small subunit ribosomal RNA", at positions 28 to 266 of the family's 1533-position model. The record is from RNAcentral.